CGCCUUGCCAGCCCGCUCAGAAAUUUAAAGGAAUUGACGGGGGCCCGGCACAAGCGGUGGAGUAUGUGGUUUAAUUCGAUGCAACGCGAAGAACCUUACCUGGUCUUGACAUCCCGGAGACCCUUAGGAAACUAGGGGGUGCUUCCAUCUGGAAGAAUCUGGAGACAGGUGCUGCAUGGCUGUCGUCAGCUCGUGUCGUGAGAUGUUGGGUUAAGUCCCGCAACGAGCGCAACCCUUGCCUUUAGUUGCCAGCAGUUCGGCUGGGCAUUCUAAAGGGACUGCCGGUGUUAAACCGGAGGAAGGUGGGGAUGACGUCAAGUCCUCAUGGCCUUUAUGACCAGGGCUACACACGUACUACAAUGGCCGAUACAAAGGGCAGCGACACUGCGAGGUGAAGCCAAUCCCGUAAAAUCGGUCUCAGUCCGGAUUGGAGUCUGCAACUCGACUCCAUGAAGUUGGAAUCGCUAGUAAUCGUGGAUCAGCAUGCCACGGUGAAUACGUUCCCGGGCCUU
RNAcentral lists this ribosomal RNA (512 nucleotides) under uncultured Desulfobulbus sp. Its description in RNAcentral is "bacterial SSU rRNA". It matches the Rfam family "Bacterial small subunit ribosomal RNA", at positions 903 to 1382 of the family's 1533-position model. The record is from RNAcentral. Lineage: Bacteria; Pseudomonadati; Thermodesulfobacteriota; Desulfobulbia; Desulfobulbales; Desulfobulbaceae.